UUCAUAAAUGGGAGACCUACUCCACUAACUAAGCUAAACAGCAGUAGGGGAGGUGACUCUUUCAUUAUAUAGCAUAAAUCAUGCUAAAAAAAAGUCCCACCCUCACAUUUUCUGGCCAAUCCAGGUGGUGUGCGCCAAAAGGGGCGGUUUCCCGCGCGAAGUUACUGCAUUUCCCUCCAAAACUUUUAGAUGCCUAUUUAAAUGGCUGAGGAUCAUCAAUCUGGUCCCAACAGCUCAUCUCUGAGGACACACACACGGUGAACAGUGGGAUGUGUCUUCAGCUUCAAGUGGAACAGCUCUGACCUGUAUGGUGAUCAGACCUGGAGAAGAGAGACACCCGGUCCAAUAAGGUGAUGGACGGUUGACAGGACGAAUCACCAAGACGAACAAGACAAGCCAAACAAUGGAGAUGAGCUGCCACAGGAGCCUGAAGGACAAGUAACGAGAGCAGUCAGGAGCUGAAAGUGUGGGCAGAGGAACAGGAUGCUGAGGACGAGUUGGAGGACGGUUCCCUGAACUGAAUCCUGAGAUCCUAUAAUCAAGUUUUGUGGACUGACAGUGUGUAUGGUUGGUGCUCGGCCCAGGAGAGGAGAGACAACUAAGGUGAUGGAUGAGCAGCCGAGACGAACAAGAUGAGCCAAACCCUGGAGACGAGCCGCCACAGGAGCCUGAAGCAGCAGGAAAACUGAGUAUCUGAGCGUCUGUCUUCUGAUGACAACUCCUUCAGGUCAUGCAGUUGUUUGAUGACUGUGGUUUCACCUGCUCUUCAUGGCGAUGUGCAGCAGCGUGACAGUGAUGGCGUAGUCCCAAACCCACUCCUCCACGAUCCAGGCGAACACCAGCCCGCCCAGAAGAUAGGUCACUUCUGUGGAAAUCACACCAACUGGAGGGACAGAGGAAGAAAAAAUGACACCUGUUAUUCUGCCUCAUCUUUCUCUACAACGCUUUAGGAUCACGAUUCUGCUUUAGCAUCACACCUUAGCAUGCAGUGUAGCAGAAAGAAAUACAGGAGUCAUGAAAUUGUCCUGACUCGAAUGUUGUAAUUGAGGAUUUAUAUAUUUAUUCUGACCUUCAGCAUGAGAAUAUAUAAAAUGCCAUUUUUCAGUCUUUUUCUCAGGAUGGUGAUGAAGGUUGAUUGAGCCUUUGCUAUAUAAGGGGCACUUUGUAACAGUUUGUAGAAAUUUACACGUAUUAUUCACUUUUUUAUUGACCACAUUUGAGGGAAUGGUAUCGUGAAAUGUAAAAUGAAAUCUUCCCUGUCUCUCUCAGUUGUUUUUAAAAGCCUGUGGUCGAUUUGUUGAAGCCAUUUAACGCCUCUGGACUGUCAAGUGUUUAUUAUUAUCAAUUAAAUGUAUAACACAUACACAACUCCUUUAACACAUAAGGCCUUUAGCUUGAUAUUGUAGAACCACUGGUAUAUAUAGAGUGUUUGUCCUCGACUGAACCGCGUCAUGUUUCCAUACAAGAACAUGUUUUCUUUUGAUUGUAGCAGGAUUAUGUUGUUAUAUCUUUUCUGCUCGCCUCAGCACAAACUGUUCUGUGUGAGAAAUAGAAAUAGAUAAAACUAGUUCAGCAGUUUCUUAUCAUUCACCUUCCUCUCUCUGUGCUUCAGCAUAUUUAUUUUCAUUCCUUUUGUGAGGGUGAAACUCAGCGUAUGUUUUUAAGAAGAAAAUCUUUGAAGGCAGUCACUGGAUUUUUCAUUUCUCAGUACCUCUCUCUGCUCCGCUCACAGACUUUUGCUUUUUCUGGUUUGGUGUGAUUUAUUUACAUUGUUUUGAUUUCAUGAUUUCAACUCCAGUCCAUCUCUUUUCAUUGUAAUUCUACUUGUACAAGCAUUUGAUUAGCUUGUUAAGGAAGAAAGGUUCCAUAUAUAUAGUUGUUUUUGUUAUUAUUGUUGGGUUUUGUUGUUGUUAUUGUUCUUACAUUAUUGUUGUUCUUCUUAUUAGGGUUCUAACCCAGAAGGGGUAGAACCCUUCUCAAAUUGUGCCGGUUUAAUAGUUUUAUGUGUUGUCUGCCGCUUGAGCUCAAAUUCCUGUGAGCUGGAAUGGGCCAUAAACUUGAAACUUGGCCCAAUGAUUAGAAAUAAUGUGUAUCAACUUUUAUUAAAACAUGAGCCCAGUCAGCCAGAUGGUGGCGGUGUUA
Molecule: long non-coding RNA, 2142 nt
Organism: Acanthopagrus latus (yellowfin seabream)
Lineage: Eukaryota; Metazoa; Chordata; Actinopteri; Spariformes; Sparidae
Exons: 6
Source: RefSeq, a predicted model, not a curated record